UUCUCUCCAUGAGAAUAUUCAUGGUGAAGCCAUAUUUCAUACUUUACCUUUAGCCACUGUUCUGUGUAAGUUGGGAAAUCAAAGUUUCGUUAUACAGCCCUCCUGGUAGAUAAUUGGAGGGAUUACAACACACUCUUGCAUGUGUGUAGAAAUGUCCUUUUUCCUGCCCACAUCGUACAGACAUAAUUGCAUGGUGUGUGCCUUUAGGGAUUUUUAGAUAUCUUCUGUGAACCAGAAGAAAUGCAGACAUGUUGGCAAAGUUAAUCAUUUUCGUUGUGGAUCUAACACUAGUUUUUGCCAUUUUUGUUAUCCUAUAUGCUGUUUACUUAAUAGCAAUCAUAGGUAUUUUCAUCUCAGUCCUUCUUUAUAUUUUCAAAGGGGGGAUGGAAAAAAACUGUGACUUCAGCAAGGGCAGUGUCUGGGUACUGGAUUCUAACAAUGCUCCUGGGAAGCCACUUACAGGCAACAUCAGCAGCUCCAGGAUGCUUCUCGCCCUUUCCAGCAGCAAGAGAAGGGGCUUCUUGCCCAAAGAAAGUGGUUCUCUCUUCUAAAGAAUCACGAGCUCUCUGCGGUGGAGGACAUGCCUGGGAAGACUUGCCAGAACACUGCACCCACCCAACGGAGAGGUCAUUCAAACUGCCAUCUACACAUGAAUUACAAAGAAAUUCUCCUAAACAAGCAGAAAUACUCAGAAGGCAUGAAGAGUCAUAAUGCUUCCAAAAAUGCAUGCAUUUAACAUUACAACUGUAGAAAACAUUUCAUAACUCUAAAAGCUCGACCUUGGAGAGGAUAAACAUGCUAUUCAACCAUAGCAGUAAAACUGUCGAGCUGCGUUUGGAGCUUGAAAUACCCGGAGCCACCAAUCUGUUCAAGAAUUAAAUUGGAAAAUAUUUCUUCAAAGUGACAUAGCCAACCAAACGUAAGCAUUUUUGUCACUGUAGCAAAACUGACCAGAGCCUUUACUGAUCUAGCAUGGCUCAAGUAGGGCAUCCUUUAUACCCCACCUGUGAAGUCUAUGCUUCCUUCUAGAUUUGACUAAAUGUGACUUCUCUUUCCACCAUAAUACCCUGUCAACACUGUGCUCAUCACACUUCUCACAUUAUGUAUUUGACUUUCUUUGGUUAUUUGUAAAGUUUUUCCUAUUUCAUCCUUUGAUUAUUUUUAAACUUUAGGAACUGCUUUUCAGCCAUUUUUUUAUCUGCACAUAAAUUAAGUUACAUUUUUGCUCUGUAUUCUCAAUUGUGUCCAUCCAAGUGCCAUGAAUAGUAAUAUUUUUCUGAAUCGAUAAAUCCCCAUAAAAUCUAUAAUUACACAUGUACAUAUUACAUACACAUAAUAUAUAAUACAUAUACAUUAUAUAUACAGGUAUAAAUACUGUAUAUUCCAAGGAAAAGUAGAAAUUAAAGGAGGACCAUUGGCUGAGAAAUGAUUUUAUCAGCGUUCUCAAAAAUGCCACGAGAAAGUCUGGAAGUUAGAUUCCUAAACAUCUAUUCAUAUCUUUACAAACGGUUAAUUCCUUAAGAGUGAUUAAUCAGCAGCAAAAUUCUAGUUUUGUUCAUUGGAAGCAAAGUUGAGACCGUGUUAAGUAUCAGAAGAGCAGUUGGGCUGGGAGUGGAAAUCCCAGUGUGUGAAGAGCCAUUGGAAAAGGAGAAAAAGGGGAAGGCUGACUUUCUGGAAUGCAGACCUCAACAGCACAGAGUUCCUCAGAAAGCUGAGCUGGACACAAGGCCAGGAACCUGCUUCUGCUAGGAGCUACAGAGCCCUUAAAAAGAACACCCCUUUAGCGUUACUGAAGAAAAAAUUGGAAAGGAAAUCAACAUAUUUAUUGGCCUCUAAAUGAAGGACCUCACCGAAAUAUGUUAAAUAACAACUGCUUCGUUCCUGUAUGAACAGGAAGAAACCAUCAGGGGUGUUUUGAUUCUCUUGUACUUGUCAUGGCUUCGGGUCAUCAGCAGGGUGGAGGCACCCAAAGGUGAGAGCAAUUCUUCUCCACCCAAGCAAGAGGACUAAUGUUUACUGUCUUAAACAUUGAAUUUUGGGGUGAAUUUAUUAUGUAGUAUUUUGUGGCAUAAAUGUUAUCAACAAACACUGAUGGAUCCACUAUACUAUUCCCAUUUAUUUGUAUUUACAUAUGUAAAAUGUUUAUUAUACCAAAGUAUUCAUUACCCACAGGAGCAAAGAGAUUGAGGGAGGAGAAGGGUGGAAAAUGAGGGAUUUUUUCUUUUACUCCAUCCACUUCUAUAAUUAGUGAAUUUUAUAUAAGUAUGAAUUACUUGUAUAGUUUAUAAAAGGAAAAUAAGCCUGACAAAAAUUGUUUCCACAAAUGAAAAAGUUCAUGAAACAGAAAUAUAUUCAGUGAACAUUGAAGUGCCAAAUUCUCAUUUAUAUUUCCUGGUAACCACUAUAAUGAAUUAUAAUCUUGCUACUCAAAGUGAGGUCCUUGGACCAGCAGCAAAGGCAUUACCUGGGAGCUGGUUGAAAAUGCAGAAUCUUUGGCCUCAUCUCAGAACAGCAGAAUCUGUAACAAAAUCCCCAAUGAUUCACAUACACAGAAAAGUUUGAGAAACAUCUCUCUAAAACUGUUACCAAGUCCAGGCUCAUGCUGCUCCCUGCCCAACAUGCAAAUAAGGCAAGAGACAGGUGUGGAUAAAAGGAAGGUUCCUAUGGCCAGGAUUCUCACCUGGCCGUGGUUAGCUGGCUCACUACACAUGUGUGGACAAUACAUUGUUAUUGACUCUAUAUAAAGAGCCUUGCCCAGUGCUCUGGGCGACGUGGUGGCAUGGCUGCAGGAGAGCAGAGCAGGGACUGGAGUGGUGGCAGCACCAAGAACAGAGACUGGGAUGGCUGUGCAGGCAGAGAGGCCCAGAGGACUGCUGCCCAGAGGAUGGCUGUGCGGGUAGAGAGGUCCAGGGGCAGAGACCUGCUUGCUGCAUACAGACUCGCUCUGAGUGGACGGAAUUUUAGUGAUUGACCUGCCACCCUGGAAAUAAAGUUGGAUAUAAACCCUUUCACCCCAAGAACAUUUUACUGUCAUUUCUUUGGUCUCACUGACUCCAUAGUGAACUUGCCCGGGGCUGAAACCCAUUGGCAAGACAGAAGGUGUUGGGACAAGGAAAGUGACUUUAUUCAGAAAGCCAGCAGACCAAGAAGAGUCUGACUUACAGCCUAAAACCACAUCUUAACUCAGGGUUGAUUGCAAGCUUCUUUCAUGCUAGGGAAGGAGGAGCAGGAUAGGGGGUGAUGGAAGGUUACAGACAUCUGGUGCCAAUGAGGGUCCGAGGAGAGCAGAGAAGGUCUGUGUCCUUGGUUAGUUGACUCUCCUUGACCUAGGUCUUGUCAUGAUGUUCCUAAACAGGGCAAUCAUUUGUAUGCAUAUUUCCCCAAUAUCUCUUGGAGGAGGCAAGCUUUGGGUAAGGAGUUAUUUGCAGAAAUCUCAAACCAUAAGCAAAAUUCCUUUUGAUGAAUAACAAGCCUAAGUUCAGGGCUGCAGGGCUCUGCAGGAGGGCUUUGCUUUUUCCUCCUUUUGGCCCAAAGGUCAAGGCAGCAAAGGAGACAAAAUACCAUAUGGAGGCAGAGAUGCCCAGCUUUAUCUAUCAGUUACAAACCAUUAAGCAUUUUUUUUAUUUUGGUUUAAGUCAAGAAAAAGAAACUAUUUAAAAAGUGA
Molecule: long non-coding RNA, 3664 nt
Organism: Manis pentadactyla (Chinese pangolin)
Lineage: Eukaryota; Metazoa; Chordata; Mammalia; Pholidota; Manidae
Exons: 3
Source: RefSeq, a predicted model, not a curated record